UACGUAGGGAGCAAGCGUUGUUCGGAUUUACUGGGCGUAAAGGGCGCGUAGGCGGCAAUUCAAGCCACUUGUGAAAUCUCCGGGCUUAACUCGGAACGGUCAAGUGAUACUGCUUUGCUAGAGUGCGGAAGGGGCAAUCGGAAUUCUCGGUGUAGCGGUGAAAUGCGUAGAUAUCGAGAGGAACACCUGAGGUGAAGACGGGUUGCUGGGCCGACACUGACGCUGACAGCGCGAAAGCCAGGGGAGCAAACGGG
This 254-nucleotide ribosomal RNA is filed under the name uncultured bacterium. RNAcentral describes it as "partial 16S ribosomal RNA". It matches the Rfam family "Bacterial small subunit ribosomal RNA", at positions 524 to 776 of the family's 1533-position model. The record is from RNAcentral.